This 1001-nucleotide ribosomal RNA is filed under the name uncultured Actinomycetes bacterium. RNAcentral's name for it is "bacterial SSU rRNA". It matches the Rfam family "Bacterial small subunit ribosomal RNA", at positions 44 to 1056 of the family's 1533-position model. The record is from RNAcentral. Lineage: Bacteria; Bacillati; Actinomycetota; Actinomycetes.
GUGCUUAACACAUGCAAGUCGAACGGAAAGGCCCAAGCUUGCUUGGGUACUCGAGUGGCGAACGGGUGAGUAACACGUGGGUGAUCUGCCCCGCACUUCGGGAUAAGCCUGGGAAACUGGGUCUAAUACCGGAUAGGACCACUUCUUGGAGGUUGUGGUGGAAAGUUUUUUCGGUGUGGGAUGAGCUCGCGGCCUAUCAGCUUGUUGGUGGGGUAAUGGCCUACCAAGGCGUCGACGGGUAGCCGGCCUGAGAGGGUGUACGGCCACAUUGGGACUGAGAUACGGCCCAGACUCCUACGGGAGGCAGCAGUGGGGAAUAUUGCACAAUGGGCGCAAGCCUGAUGCAGCGACGCCGCGUGGGGGAUGACGGCCUUCGGGUCGUAAACUCCUUUCGCUAGGGACGAAGCGUUAUGUGACGGUACCUAGAGAAGAAGCACCGGCUAACUACGUGCCAGCAGCCGCGGUAAUACGUAGGGUGCGAGCGUUGUCCGGAAUUACUGGGCGUAAAGAGCUCGUAGGUGGUUUGUCGCGUCGUUUGUGUAAGCCCGCAGCUUAACUGCGGGACUGCAGGCGAUACGGGCAUAACUUGAGUGCUGUAGGGGAGACUGGAAUUCCUGGUGUAGCGGUGGAAUGCGCAGAUAUCAGGAGGAACACCGAUGGCGAAGGCAGGUCUCUGGGCAGUAACUAACGCUGAGGAGCGAAAGCAUGGGGAGCGAACAGGAUUAGAUACCCCGGUAGUCCAUGCCGUAAACGGUGGGCGCUAGGUGUGAGUCCCUUCCACGGGGUUCGUGCCGUAGCUAACGCAUUAAGCGCCCCGCCUGGGGAGUACGGCCGCAAGGCUAAAACUCAAAGGAAUUGACGGGGGCCCGCACAAGCGGCGGAGCAUGUGGAUUAAUUCGAUGCAACGCGAAGAACCUUACCUGGGCUUGACAUACACCAGAUCGCCGUAGAGAUACGGUUUCCCUUUGUGGUUGGUGUACAGGUGGUGCAUGGUUGUCGUC